UGGGGAAUAUUGGACAAUGGGCGAAAGCCUGAUCCAGCCAUGCCGCGUGUGUGAAGAAGGUCUUCGGAUUGUAAAGCACUUUAAGUUGGGAGGAAGGGCAGUAAGCGAAUACCUUGCUGUUUUGACGUUACCGACAGAAUAAGCACCGGCUAACUCUGUGCCAGCAGCCGCGGUAAUACAGAGGGUGCAAGCGUUAAUCGGAAUUACUGGGCGUAAAGCGCGCGUAGGUGGUUCGGUAAGUUGAAUGUGAAAGCCCCGGGCUCAACCUGGGAACUGCAUCCAAAACUGGCGGGCUAGAGUAGGGCAGAGGGUGGUGGAAUUUCCUGUGUAGCGGUGAAAUGCGUAGAUAUGGGGAGGAACACCAGUGGCGAAGGCGACCACCUGGGCUCAUACUGACACUGAGGUGCGAAAGCGUGGGGAGCAAACAGG
Molecule: ribosomal RNA, 429 nt
Filed under: Pseudomonadota bacterium
Lineage: Bacteria; Pseudomonadati; Pseudomonadota
Description: Proteobacteria bacterium partial 16S ribosomal RNA
Rfam family: Bacterial small subunit ribosomal RNA
Source: RNAcentral